RNAcentral lists this long non-coding RNA (475 nucleotides) under Urocitellus parryii (Arctic ground squirrel). RNAcentral describes it as "lncRNA (ENSUPAG00010014814.1)". The record is from RNAcentral. Lineage: Eukaryota; Metazoa; Chordata; Mammalia; Rodentia; Sciuridae.
CUGGUCUAACACACUCCCCACAUGUGGGUGCCCCACGGGCUUCCUCGGGUAUCUGAGGUCAUCGCGUGACCCUGGGUCUCCAGAGAUUGGUCGGGGCUGGGACUGGCGAAGAUUGCCGAAAGGCGGCGGGGAGGAGGAGGAGGAUGUCUUCGCUAGAGUGAGCAAGCAGAUCUCGCGGAAGCAAAUCUCGCGAGAGCUCUCAAAUCCGCAACCGCCAAAGAAAGGUUACUUUUCCCGGAAAUAACGUCAAUGGGAACCGCCCCGGAUCCUGGGAAUAUUUGUUCUCAGAGGCUAAAGAUCCAUAUGGAUGCCAUGCAUGGAGUUGUGGACCCAUAAAGAAGAAUCUCUGUGAAGAACUCGGCACUCGGCACCCCAGAAAAUUCAGCAGUUAAUUGUGUUCCCCCUGGGGCUGGGGAUGUGGCUCAAGCAGUAGCGAGCUGGCCUGGGUUCGAUCCUCAGCACCACAUACAAACAA